Molecule: non-coding RNA, 30 nt
Filed under: Mus musculus (house mouse)
Lineage: Eukaryota; Metazoa; Chordata; Mammalia; Rodentia; Muridae
Source: RNAcentral
UGUACAAAAAGAUGGCUGCCAAACAUGACC